This 247-nucleotide ribosomal RNA is filed under the name uncultured bacterium. RNAcentral's name for it is "partial 16S ribosomal RNA". It matches the Rfam family "Bacterial small subunit ribosomal RNA", at positions 523 to 769 of the family's 1533-position model. The record is from RNAcentral.
AUACGUAGGGUGCAAACGUUGUCCGGAAUUACUGGGUGUAAAGGGCAUGUAGGCGGUUCUGUAAGCCUGACGUGAAAGGCUAUGGCUCAACCAUGGCACUGCGUUGGGAACUGCGGGACUUGAAUCAUGGAGAGGGAGCUGGAAUUCCAGGUGUAGGGGUGAAAUCUGUAGAUAUCUGGAAGAACACCAGUGGCGAAGGCGAGCUCCUGGCCAAUGAUUGACGCUGAGGUGCGAAAGUGUGGGGAUC